This 402-nucleotide ribosomal RNA is filed under the name uncultured bacterium. Its description in RNAcentral is "bacterial SSU rRNA". It matches the Rfam family "Bacterial small subunit ribosomal RNA", at positions 355 to 774 of the family's 1533-position model. The record is from RNAcentral.
UGGGGAAUAUUGGACAAUGGGGGAAACCCUGAUCCAGCAAUGCCGCGUGAGUGAAGAAGGCCUUAGGGUUGUAAAGCUCUUUCGCCCGCGAAGAUAAUGACGGUAGCGGGGGAAGAAGCCCCGGCUAACUCCGUGCCAGCAGCCGCGGUAAUACGGAGGGGGCUAGCGUUGUUCGGAAUUACUGGGCGUAAAGCGUACGUAGGCGGAUGCGCAAGUUGGGGGUGAAAUCCCGGGGCUUAACCUCGGAAUUGCCCUCAAAACUGCACGUCUUGAGACCGAGAGAGGUAAGGGGAAUUCCUAGUGUAGAGGUGAAAUUCGUAGAUAUUAGGAAGAACACCAGUGGCGAAGGCGCCUUACUGGCUCGGUACUGACGCUGAGGUACGAAAGCGUGGGGAGCAAACA